This 94-nucleotide transfer RNA is filed under the name Klebsiella pneumoniae. RNAcentral describes it as "tRNA-Ser". It matches the Rfam family "tRNA". Rfam says of the family: Transfer RNA (tRNA) molecules are approximately 80 nucleotides in length. Their secondary structure includes four short double-helical elements and three loops (D, anti-codon, and T loops). Lineage: Bacteria; Pseudomonadati; Pseudomonadota; Gammaproteobacteria; Enterobacterales; Enterobacteriaceae. The record is from RNAcentral.
GGUGAGGUGUCCGAGUGGCUGAAGGAGCACGCCUGGAAAGUGUGUAUACGGCAACGUAUCGGGGGUUCGAAUCCCAAUCCCACCCUCACCGCCA